UUCCUUUCAUGUUUUAUUUUGUUUUCAUUUUGUUCAUGUUUUCCUUCAUCGUUUUUGGUUUUCGUUUUUGCUUCUGUUAUCCUAGUAUUUUUUUUACAUGUGUGUACAGAGUGAUGAGAAAUUGUUGGACGAAUCCGGGAUCGAUUGUAGUGGAUGAAAGAUACUCCUCAUACUUGUUCUGUUAAGGUACCCCGAAAGUUG
RNAcentral lists this long non-coding RNA (201 nucleotides) under Lathyrus oleraceus (garden pea). RNAcentral describes it as "Pisum sativum (pea) long non-coding RNA (PSAT_LNC001796)". The record is from RNAcentral. Lineage: Eukaryota; Viridiplantae; Streptophyta; Magnoliopsida; Fabales; Fabaceae.